UCCAAACCAUCUUCCCUAGCUUCUUAGCAUAUUCAUUGAACUCAAUUUUCCUAUCCUCUGAUAAAUAUAGGGUCUCAAGUACUCUUUCUUAUCUUCAAACCUCUAUCUCGACCUCUCUUUAAAUUCUCUCCCAAAAUGGUUUUUGCCAGCUUCAAUGAAGAGAUCUAUCUAUCGUUUGCAAUCUCAAUACUAGUGUUUUUCUAUCUCGUUCUGGUAGUCUUGGAGUCUCCAUGGAGCAAUAGUGGUGGAGUUUGUAUCUUGCCCCUGGAUUGUUGCUUUCCAACACCUAGAGUUGCAGAAAAUAUGUCAACAGUGAGUGAUAAUUCCAAAGGGAAGCCGAGAAAUGGACUGAUCUGUGGGAAUCUGCACUAGAGAAAUAUAAUAUAUAUAUAUUUUCUAGGCUACAUAUAUUGGAUUUUGUAUUCUUGGUGUUUUUCUUUCCCUGGCCUGCACCUUCUUGAUUUCGGGACUCUUGCUUUAGGAAUUCAGUUCUCAAGAAUUCAUGAUCAUGUGGCCUGGGUUGAGUUCUUGGGAUCUAAAUUUCAAAUGACAGAGAUUGUAUCUACAACUAUAAGCAUCUAAGAUCUCAAGACAAUUAAUACUGAUAA
Molecule: long non-coding RNA, 608 nt
Organism: Juglans regia (Persian walnut)
Lineage: Eukaryota; Viridiplantae; Streptophyta; Magnoliopsida; Fagales; Juglandaceae
Exons: 2
Source: RefSeq, a predicted model, not a curated record